UUAAGAUUUGGAAUAGGCAUAUAUAUAAGAUAUAAUAGGUUAAACCUCUUAACCCGGUUAUAGCAUUUUGGAUGGUGACUAGACCCAAGAGAUUAAGAAGAUUAAGUAUAUUAGGACUAGAAUAGUUCUAGAAUGGGUGACCUUUAAGAAGUAGGGGUGUCACAAUUAGUAUCAGAACCAAUCACUAGCUAAAAAAGUGAUAUAAGUAUCGGCUGAGC
This 218-nucleotide long non-coding RNA is filed under the name Ananas comosus (pineapple). RNAcentral describes it as "long non-coding RNA (ACOM_LNC026846)". Lineage: Eukaryota; Viridiplantae; Streptophyta; Magnoliopsida; Poales; Bromeliaceae. The record is from RNAcentral.